Molecule: non-coding RNA, 31 nt
Filed under: Mus musculus (house mouse)
Lineage: Eukaryota; Metazoa; Chordata; Mammalia; Rodentia; Muridae
Source: RNAcentral
UGAGACAAAUAUACUAAGAUACACCCAUGUC